AUGUCGGCCCUGAAGCCCUUGGUGUAUGGAGGCCUGGCCUCCAUCAAGGUGGAGCGCAGUACCUUUCCAAUUGAUUUAACCAAGACACGGCUUCAGAUUCAAGGCCCGAAGAACGAUGCAAACUUUAAAGAAAUCAGGUAUGGAGGAAUGUUGCAUGUAUUAGUGAGGAUAGGCAGAGAGGAAGGCCCGAAAGCACUAUAUUCGGGGAUUGCCCCAGCGAUGUUACACCAGGUUUCCUAUGGCACCAUCAAGAUAGACACCUAUCAGAGCUUGAAGUGGUUAUUUGUCGAGCGUCCAGAAGAUGAAACCCUUCUGAUAAAUGUGGUCUGUGGGAUUCUCUGGAGUCAUAUCCUCAAGCAUUGUUAAUCCAACAGAUGUUUUGAAGAUCAACACCCUGCAAGGAGGAAUGAUAGGCAACUUCAUUAACAUUUACCAGAAAGAGGGAAAGACAGGACUGUGGAAGGGCAUAUCCUUACCGCUCAGAGGGCUGCUACUAUGGGCUUCGUGGAGCUGCCGGUCUACAGCCUCACCAAGAAGCAUCUGAUUCUCUCAGGCCUGAUGGGAGACACUGUGUAUACCCAUUUCCUCUCAAGCUUCACCUGUGGGCUGGCAGGAGCCCUGGCCUCAAACCCUGUCAAUAUGUUGAGAACAUGUACGAUGAAUCAGAGAGUCCUCUGCGAUGACAAACGCCCUGGCUACAAAGAUACCCUGGAUUGCUUGUUACAGACAUGGAAGAAUGAAGGGUUUUUGCUCUAUAUAAAGGGUUUUGGCUAAAUUGGUUGGGAGUUGGUCCUUGGAAUCUUAUUUUCUUAGUGACAUAUGAGCAGUUGAAGAAACUGGAUUUGUGA
This 848-nucleotide long non-coding RNA is filed under the name Bos taurus (domestic cattle). RNAcentral describes it as "long non-coding RNA NONBTAT020157". The record is from RNAcentral. Lineage: Eukaryota; Metazoa; Chordata; Mammalia; Artiodactyla; Bovidae.